RNAcentral lists this small nucleolar RNA (103 nucleotides) under Sorex araneus (European shrew). RNAcentral describes it as "Small nucleolar RNA SNORA68 (ENSSARG00000020254.1)". The record is from RNAcentral. Lineage: Eukaryota; Metazoa; Chordata; Mammalia; Eulipotyphla; Soricidae.
UUAAAAAAUUAUUGAAACACUAAAAAUUUCUUUGUAGCACAUGUCCUCGCCGUUGGGCGGGGCUGGGCGUGCCCCUCAGAGUGAAUGUGGAGGUUCCACAUGG